UUUGAUCAUGGCUCAGGAUGAACGCUAGCUACAGGCUUAACACAUGCAAGUCGAGGGGCAGCAUGAGCUUAGCUUGCUAAGCUUGAUGGCGACCGGCGCACGGGUGAGUAACGCGUAUCCAACCUUCCCUUAGUAGGGCAUAGCCCGGUGAAAAUCGGAUUAAUACCCUAUGUUCUUCACAGCGGGCAUCUAACGUGAAGCAAAGGUUCACCGCUAAGGGAUGGGGAUGCGUCUGAUUAGGUAGUCGGCGGGGUAACGGCCCACCGAGCCAUCGAUCAGUAGGGGUUCUGAGAGGAAGGUCCCCCACAUUGGAACUGAGACACGGUCCAAACUCCUACGGGAGGCAGCAGUGAGGAAUAUUGGUCAAUGGUCGAGAGACUGAACCAGCCAAGUAGCGUGCCAGGAUGACGGCCCUAUGGGUUGUAAACUGCUUUUAUGCGGGGAUAAAGUCACCCACGUGUGGGUGUUUGCAGGUACCGCAUGAAUAAGGACCGGCUAAUUCCGUGCCAGCCGCCGC
This 517-nucleotide ribosomal RNA is filed under the name uncultured bacterium. Its description in RNAcentral is "bacterial SSU rRNA". It matches the Rfam family "Bacterial small subunit ribosomal RNA", at positions 12 to 518 of the family's 1533-position model. The record is from RNAcentral.